GACGAACGCUGGCGGCGUGCUUAACACAUGCAAGUCGAACGGAAAGGCCUGCUUUCCCUUGUGGAUUGCGGGUACUCGAGUGGCGAACGGGUGGGUAACACGUGAGUGAUCUGCCCCCAACUUGGGUAUAAGCCUGGGAAACUGGGUCUAAUUCCCGAUAGGACUGCAGGGUGGUGCCUGUGGUGGAAAACGAUUUUCUAGUGGUUGGGGAUGAGCUCGCGGCCUAUCAGCUUGUUGGUGGGGUAAUGGCCUACCAAGGCGGCGACGGGUAGCCGGCCUGGGAGGGUGGACGGUCACAUUGGGACUGGGAUACGGCCCAGACGCCUACGGGAGGCAGCAGUGGGGAAGAUUGGACAAUGAGCGGAAGCCUGAUGCAGCGACGCCGCGUGGGGGAUGACGGCCUUCGGGUUGUAAACUCCUUUCGACCGCGAGGAAGCCACCUGGUUGGAAGGGUGGUGACGGUAGUGGUAGAAGAAGCACCGGCUAACUACGUG
Molecule: ribosomal RNA, 494 nt
Filed under: uncultured bacterium
Lineage: Bacteria
Description: partial 16S ribosomal RNA
Rfam family: Bacterial small subunit ribosomal RNA
Source: RNAcentral